GGUGGUUUCCACCUCUGUGUGCUCAGACCACACCAUCACUUCAUGGAAUUCCACAUCGUGGGCUCUCCUGAAAAGAAGAACCAUAACUCAUCGUUCUGCAUCCUUAAGAAUGACUGCUGUAUGGCUGCAAGCAAGGACCUCACCAUGUGAUCUUGCCCCAAAAAUCAGCACCUGCUUGAGAUGUAUGGCCGGUUUUGUUAUUAGACAGUCAGAAAAGGCAAAAGUUGAAUUCUGCUUUGAGUCAUUUCAUGAAGUCAGUUGUCGUUGUUGGCAGACAUCAAUGUGCUGUGAAGAAAACUCUGUCACUUGCCUUGACUUCAGAAAAGCAUGAGAAAACACUUGCAGCCUUCCCUGAGAUAAGAAGCCACAAACAAAUCAGAAACAACAAGCGAAAACUCAAUUCAAGGUUUACUCCAGGAUGGACGUCUUGCUACGAUAAAUUAAGGUGUUUUUCAUUAUUAAAAAUAAACAAAGCAAUGAAAGUGAACCAUGUCACCAUUCAUAUGCUAAAAAAACAUCUUUAAUCUGCUUGGGAAAAUCUUUUUUUCCCCCUAACAGGAAAAAAUAUUAGUUGUCCAGAUAACAAGCAAAACAAAAUCAACUAAAGGGCAUCAAGAGACUUCCUGAAAUUGAAAAAACAAUGUUUUGUGUAACAAGUUAAAAAAAAAAAACAAAAACAAAACAACCACAUACAGCAAGCAGAAUGAUUCCUCCAGCUUCUUCAGGUCGUCAGUGGUUUCAGGAACAUGAGGAAGAGCUACACAAGCAGUCAAAAGUUUUAUUUAACCUUGCAGCAUUUUACAGCUGUCCUAAGCCUCUUCCCUUCUCCCUUUCCCCUCCCCAACCCCCCCGGAAACCAUUUGUCUUUCUAGUGCCUUAUUUUUAACAGCUCAGCUCGGCCCCAAAGGGACAUGUGUAAAAACAACCAAAGAACUUAAUCUGGCAGCUUUGGGGUUCCCAGGACUGAAAUAGCAAGCCUGAUGCAAAUCAGGACAGAAGCUGCUUUGGAAGAGGGAGCAAUACCUCCUCCUCCUCCUCUUGAGGGAGAGAGGGAUGGCAGGAGGCAGAGCCACGAGGAUGGGCAGGGCAGACACUCACCCACCGUGAGACUGGUAGACAUGGGCAAUGCUGGGCUGGGUUAGCAGGGAUGCUCGGGACCCCAUUCAUCCUGCAGUAAAUCAGCCCCUGGAGAUGCACGGGGAAGUUUGUACAAUGUCUGCCCAAACUCUGCCUGGAUCCCUGCCAGGGCUGCGAAACUUUCAUUCUCAUGAGUUCACAAAUUUCACCUACAAGAGCCUGAUUUAAACAAUACAAGAGGCAGUGUGGCAUUCCUUCCCACAUCCCUCUCGGCCUCUGUGCUGUGAAACCACAGGAAAUCAUUAGCUGUGCUUGCUAAGAACUUCUGGAUCAAACAAAUGAUCCACAUUUGAUGUAUUGAGAGAUUUUUUUUUUCUUUGUUUAAAUAUAUUUAUGAUUUUCACAGGUUUGUUUGUGAUGCUGGUUUAUGCAGUUUCUAAUGUUUGG
Molecule: long non-coding RNA, 1524 nt
Filed under: Cyanistes caeruleus (blue tit)
Lineage: Eukaryota; Metazoa; Chordata; Aves; Passeriformes; Paridae
Description: lncRNA (ENSCCEG00000003084.1)
Source: RNAcentral